Molecule: long non-coding RNA, 801 nt
Organism: Stylophora pistillata
Lineage: Eukaryota; Metazoa; Cnidaria; Anthozoa; Scleractinia; Pocilloporidae
Source: RefSeq, a predicted model, not a curated record
UUUAGGGAGAGUCGAUCUUAUCACCGCCGGUGAUGUUUAGAGGUGAUAUUUCUGGCCGAAAACUCUGUCAAAGGUAUAGAAAGUGAUGAAAGUAGCAGUCUAGAUCGGUGGCUUAAAAAUAAGAUCCAGAAAUUCAGGAGAAGAUGCUGAAGAUGAGGAAUUUCCAGUGGAGGAGUCUGCAGCUUCCAUAUUUGAUUACCCUUUGGGGCUUCUUACAAGUAUCACUGUGACAACAGUGGAAGGGACUACUGGCACAUCAGAGAUGGAGCAGUCAGCAUCUGCUUCUGUGCACAAAGUAAAAGUUGUGGCCCCAUGCAACACUGGUUCUGGAGCAUCAUCAUCCGAGCUUAGUGGGGGAAGAGCAGGAUUGUCAGAACUCUGUUGCUGGAAGACAGCAGUGACAACAGUGAGUCUACAUUGUAAUGAAAGACCUUCAGCAGAGGCAUGUAGCCAAUAUGAUGUAGGGCAAAAUAACUGAUCUGGAAAACUUUGACCUGUCUGAGUGGUAGAGCAUCUGACGUAUUUGCCACUAUUUGCUUCUUUUCAUUUGAAAGAAGCCCUUAUAACUCAGUGCUACUGUUCUGGCUUGGCAAAUCAUGUUCAUACAGCAUGACUUUUGACAUGGUUUAUAAAAGAAGUGAAGAAUACUUGUGAAUUGUGCUGACAUAAAGUUGAUAUCAAGAAAAAGGGGAAACCUUAUGCUGAGGGGCAUAGACCAGAAGAUAAGCCAACCCCCAUAAUCUGGUUCACUGUAUUUGUUGUUGGACUUUUCCUUAAUGUGUUCUCCAUCUCUGUGAGUGC